UAACAAAGGGCAUUUGCAAUGU
RNAcentral lists this microRNA (22 nucleotides) under Drosophila melanogaster (fruit fly). RNAcentral's name for it is "dme-miR-4967-3p". Lineage: Eukaryota; Metazoa; Arthropoda; Insecta; Diptera; Drosophilidae. The record is from miRBase by way of RNAcentral.